RNAcentral lists this ribosomal RNA (467 nucleotides) under uncultured bacterium. RNAcentral describes it as "partial 16S ribosomal RNA". It matches the Rfam family "Bacterial small subunit ribosomal RNA", at positions 28 to 507 of the family's 1533-position model. The record is from RNAcentral.
GACGAACGCUGGCGGCGUGCUUAACACAUGCAAGUCGAACGAUGACGACCGAUCUUGCUCGGUCUGAUUAGUGGCGAACGCGUGUGUAUCACGUGAGCAACCUGCCCUUCACUCUGGGGUAACAUCGGGAAAUAGGGGCUCAUACCCGAUAUGAGCUCCUGUCGCAUGGCGGGUGUUGGAAAGUGGUUCGGUGAAGGCUGGCAUCGCGGUCUAUCAGUUUGUUGGUGAGGUAGUGGUUCACCAAGGCGAUGACGGGUAGCCGGCCUGGGAGUGCGACCGGCCACACUGGGACUGAGACACGGCCCAGACGGCAACGGGAGGCAGCAGUGGGGAAUAUUGCACAAUGGGCGAAAGGCGGAUGCAGCGACGCCGGGUGGGGGAUGACGGCCUUCGGGUUGUAAACCUCUUUCAGCAGGGAAGAAGCGAAAGUGACGGUACCUGCAGAAGAAGCGACGGCUAACUACGUG